RNA transcript from Planococcus citri (citrus mealybug), 1775 nucleotides. It is a transcript of the gene named tropomyosin 2, with no coding region annotated. The transcript has 11 exons. Lineage: Eukaryota; Metazoa; Arthropoda; Insecta; Hemiptera; Pseudococcidae. The record is from RefSeq and is a predicted model, not a curated record.
UAGGUAAUCGAGGAGCUUGAGGGGGGUUAGUUGUAUGUUCAUUUUUGGAACAGUACGUUAGUCGCGGAGAAUCUAGUUCGACCUCGGCGUACGUUAACGUAGAGUUGUUCGAAAAAACUGUGCGGUUUGUCGAGUUGAAGUGAUUUUUGGUUUCUUUCAGGAAGGAGGUAGAACAAAAACAACACCAAAAUGGACGCCAUCAAGAAGAAAAUGCAGGCGAUGAAGAUGGAGAAGGAUGCGGCGAUGGACAAAGCCGACACCUGCGAAGGACAAGCUAAAGAUGCCAACCUCCGUGCCGAUAAGGUUAUGGAGGAUGUCCGAGAGGCUCAAAAGAAACUCCAACAAGUUGAAAGUGAUCUUGAAUUAGCCAAAAGAAAAUUGGAAGAUGCUAACAAAGAUUUAGAAGAAAAAGAAAAAGCCCUCGCUCAGGCUGAAGGUGAAGUAGCUUCAUUGAACAGAAAAGUCCAAAUGAUUGAAGAAGAUUUAGAACGAUCUGAAGAAAGAUCGGGAACCGCAACUGCCAAAUUAGCCGAAGCUUCCCAAGCCGCCGACGAAUCCAAACGUAUGUGCAAAGUACUAGAAAACAGAAGCCAACAAGAUGAAGAAAGAAUGGAUCAAUUAACCAAUCAAUUGAAAGAAGCUAGACUUUUGGCUGAAGAUGCUGAUGGAAAAUCAGAUGAAGUUUCCAGGAAGUUGGCCUUCGUUGAAGAUGAAUUAGAAGUAGCUGAAGAUCGUGUAAAAUCCGGUGACUCUAAAAUUAUGGAAUUAGAAGAAGAAUUGAAAGUUGUAGGAAACAGUUUGAAAUCAUUGGAAGUUUCUGAAGAAAAAGCUAACCAACGUGUUGAAGAAUACAAACAGCAAAUUAAAUCCUUAACCGUAAGACUUAAAGAAGCCGAAGCUAGAGCAGAAUUCGCUGAGAAAACCGUCAAGAAAUUACAGAAAGAAGUUGACAGACUCGAAGAUCAUCUUUUCCAAGAGAAGGAAAAAACAAAAACUAUUUGCGACGAUUUAGAUUCUACAUUUGCAGAGCUUACUGGCUAUUAACUUGCUUUGCAUUCAUUUUCAUGUUUAUUAGAAAUAGCUUUAUACUUUAUACUAAAAAGAUUAUUGCUUCGCUACAUUGGCAUGAAUAAUUUCGCUUUCAUAAGACGAACUUGGUCUCAACAAAGACAGAUACAAGUCAUUGGCUGACGAAAUGGACUCCACAUUCGCCGAAUUGGCUGGUUACUAAUGACAAACUGUUUUAUUGUAAACUCGAAACACUAAGAAACAAUAAAUUCUACAAGUUAAGAUGUUUAUUACUAUUUAUUUAUUCUUUUUUUUUUGAAAAUUUAUUCGAUUUCUAAGCUAUUUAACCAAUUAAAUACCUUCAAACCUACGUAUAUUUUCAAAUAGCAUUUAUCGAUUUCGAAUAUUUUUUUCGACCUACCAUAAGUUUAUUGAUAACUAAAUUUUUAACGCGAGUUGGGUACCUACAUUUGUAACAGAAAUUCGAAUAGUGUUAACACCACUAAUCAUGUAAUUAGCGUCAAUUAACAUUUUUCAUUUUUUAAAAAUGACAAUGGCAAACUUGUAAAUAUGAAAUUUUUUUCUUCAAUUUUUGGUUUCUCUUGCAAGGAUAUACCUAAAUUUAUUUUUUUCCCCUCUAGUACACGAGUUAGCUCAACGAUUUUCAAGUGUACUGUUCGUUAUGUUACUUCACUUUAUUGUUGAAUCUUUAUAAGUUGUAAAUUUUAUCGUAGCAGAUUAUCGAAUAAAUAAUAUUUAUUUAUCAA